GGGGUUGUGGCUCAGUGGUAGAGUGCUGGCGAGGCCCUGGGUUCGAUCCUCAGCACCACA
Molecule: transfer RNA, 60 nt
Filed under: Marmota monax (woodchuck)
Lineage: Eukaryota; Metazoa; Chordata; Mammalia; Rodentia; Sciuridae
Description: tRNA.Undet
Source: RNAcentral